Molecule: long non-coding RNA, 321 nt
Organism: Leptidea sinapis
Lineage: Eukaryota; Metazoa; Arthropoda; Insecta; Lepidoptera; Pieridae
Exons: 2
Source: RefSeq, a predicted model, not a curated record
AGUUUUUGUUACGAAUUUUCGUUUUCUGUUACUUUAUUUGUGUAUUAUUCAGGGUAAUGUGCUUAAUUAUUUAUAAAAUAAAUGCGUAAGACUUUCUAAGCUAUACCAUGUAAUAAAAAAGGUGUAAAAUAUGUGGUUUAAAAUCUGGCUGGUCAGAUGGGAGGAAGAGAAUUUUCAUGGCUAAAUUCUUUUUCGAUAAAGAACGAUUCAGGACCCUCGCCUACGACUUUAUUGCUACAUCUGAAAAACGAAUACCAAAGACUGUCUAAACCGAAAAUACAACGCAAAACAAAACUAUUAAUAAAAUAUUAAUUAUGUUAA